GUCUUUAUAGUGUAAUUGCACGGCAUAUUUUCAUUUUGCAAGAAUUCAUUCUAGAAUUAAAGGUU
Molecule: transfer RNA, 65 nt
Filed under: Phoronis psammophila
Lineage: Eukaryota; Metazoa; Phoronida; Phoronidae
Description: tRNA-Glu
Source: RNAcentral